This 55-nucleotide non-coding RNA is filed under the name unclassified sequences. Its description in RNAcentral is "Flavo-1 RNA". It matches the Rfam family "Flavo-1 RNA", at positions 9 to 69 of the family's 76-position model. RNAcentral also lists the same sequence under 1 other name. The record is from RNAcentral.
GGGACCGAAGCGGAAAUCCUUUCUCAAUUUGAGAAAGAUUGCAGCGUAGGGCCCG